RNAcentral lists this microRNA (21 nucleotides) under Brachypodium distachyon (stiff brome). Its description in RNAcentral is "bdi-miR7715-5p". The record is from miRBase by way of RNAcentral. Lineage: Eukaryota; Viridiplantae; Streptophyta; Magnoliopsida; Poales; Poaceae.
UCAAAGAUGGGAUUUCUGAAC